UUUAAGUGUAGUUGUAUAUAACUUUAAUUAUCUGUUUUAUUUAUAUUUUUUAUAAUUAGUAUUUUUAUUGUUAUUAGAUGAUAAAAUAUGAGUAGUACUUUAUAAAUGAUUUAUAUUUUUUAAUUUUUUUAAAAAAAUUUAAAUAAGACAGAUAAUUAAAGUUGAAUACGAAAAUUUAUGGUUGAGCUAAAA
Molecule: microRNA precursor, 192 nt
Filed under: Oryza punctata
Lineage: Eukaryota; Viridiplantae; Streptophyta; Magnoliopsida; Poales; Poaceae
Description: MIR812 microRNA precursor family
Rfam family: MIR812 microRNA precursor family
Source: Rfam by way of RNAcentral